Felis catus (domestic cat) is the source of this 304-nucleotide long non-coding RNA. RefSeq lists it as uncharacterized. The transcript has 2 exons. Lineage: Eukaryota; Metazoa; Chordata; Mammalia; Carnivora; Felidae. The record is from RefSeq and is a predicted model, not a curated record.
CGUGACCUGGCUGAAGUCGGACGCUUAACCGACUGAGCCACCCAGGCACCCCGUUUGUGUUUCUUUCAACUAAGGACUCCGUUAUCUCAAUGAUAUGUUAAAUGAAGAAGGCAAGUUGCCGAGUAAUGUAUACAGUACAAGAAGACAUAACAAUUUGAAAGAAUACAUAACAAGCACUUCAGAUUAUUUAGUGCCAACCUGAAACCAUAAAACUCCCAAAAGAAAACUUCAGGUGGUAAACUCCUUACCAUCAACCUUGGUGAUAACUUCUUGGACCUGAUUCCAAAACCAAACACAACAAAAG